RNAcentral lists this ribosomal RNA (2923 nucleotides) under Escherichia coli. RNAcentral's name for it is "partial 23S ribosomal RNA". It matches the Rfam family "Bacterial large subunit ribosomal RNA". Lineage: Bacteria; Pseudomonadati; Pseudomonadota; Gammaproteobacteria; Enterobacterales; Enterobacteriaceae. The record is from RNAcentral.
GUUAAGCGACUAAGCGUACACGGUGGAUGCCCUGGCAGUCAGAGGCGAUGAAGGACGUGCUAAUCUGCGAUAAGCGUCGGUAAGGUGAUAUGAACCGUUAUAACCGGCGAUUUCCGAAUGGGGAAACCCAGUGUGAUUCGUCACACUAUCAUUAACUGAAUCCAUAGGUUAAUGAGGCGAACCGGGGGAACUGAAACAUCUAAGUACCCCGAGGAAAAGAAAUCAACCGAGAUUCCCCCAGUAGCGGCGAGCGAACGGGGAGCAGCCCAGAGCCUGAAUCAGUGUGUGUGUUAGUGGAAGCGUCUGGAAAGGCGCGCGAUACAGGGUGACAGCCCCGUACACAAAAAUGCACAUGCUGUGAGCUCGAUGAGUAGGGCGGGACACGUGGUAUCCUGUCUGAAUAUGGGGGGACCAUCCUCCAAGGCUAAAUACUCCUGACUGACCGAUAGUGAACCAGUACCGUGAGGGAAAGGCGAAAAGAACCCCGGCGAGGGGAGUGAAAAAGAACCUGAAACCGUGUACGUACAAGCAGUGGGAGCACAGAGCAAUCUGUGUGACUGCGUACCUUUUGUAUAAUGGGUCAGCGACUUAUAUUCUGUAGCAAGGUUAACCGAAUAGGGGAGCCGAAGGGAAACCGAGUCUUAACUGGGCGUUAAGUUGCAGGGUAUAGACCCGAAACCCGGUGAUCUAGCCAUGGGCAGGUUGAAGGUUGGGUAACACUAACUGGAGGACCGAACCGACUAAUGUUGAAAAAUUAGCGGAUGACUUGUGGCUGGGGGUGAAAGGCCAAUCAAACCGGGAGAUAGCUGGUUCUCCCCGAAAGCUAUUUAGGUAGCGCCUCGUGAAUUCAUCUCCGGGGGUAGAGCACUGUUUCGGCAAGGGGGUCAUCCCGACUUACCAACCCGAUGCAAACUGCGAAUACCGGAGAAUGUUAUCACGGGAGACACACGGCGGGUGCUAACGUCCGUCGUGAAGAGGGAAACAACCCAGACCGCCAGCUAAGGUCCCAAAGUCAUGGUUAAGUGGGAAACGAUGUGGGAAGGCCCAGACAGCCAGGAUGUUGGCUUAGAAGCAGCCAUCAUUUAAAGAAAGCGUAAUAGCUCACUGGUCGAGUCGGCCUGCGCGGAAGAUGUAACGGGGCUAAACCAUGCACCGAAGCUGCGGCAGCGACGCUUAUGCGUUGUUGGGUAGGGGAGCGUUCUGUAAGCCUGUGAAGGUGUACUGUGAGGUAUGCUGGAGGUAUCAGAAGUGCGAAUGCUGACAUAAGUAACGAUAAAGCGGGUGAAAAGCCCGCUCGCCGGAAGACCAAGGGUUCCUGUCCAACGUUAAUCGGGGCAGGGUGAGUCGACCCCUAAGGCGAGGCCGAAAGGCGUAGUCGAUGGGAAACAGGUUAAUAUUCCUGUACUUGGUGUUACUGCGAAGGGGGGACGGAGAAGGCUAUGUUGGCCGGGCGACGGUUGUCCCGGUUUAAGCGUGUAGGCUGGUUUUCCAGGCAAAUCCGGAAAAUCAAGGCUGAGGCGUGAUGACGAGGCACUACGGUGCUGAAGCAACAAAUGCCCUGCUUCCAGGAAAAGCCUCUAAGCAUCAGGUAACAUCAAAUCGUACCCCAAACCGACACAGGUGGUCAGGUAGAGAAUACCAAGGCGCUUGAGAGAACUCGGGUGAAGGAACUAGGCAAAAUGGUGCCGUAACUUCGGGAGAAGGCACGCUGAUAUGUAGGUGAAGUCCCUCGCGGAUGGAGCUGAAAUCAGUCGAAGAUACCAGCUGGCUGCAACUGUUUAUUAAAAACACAGCACUGUGCAAACACGAAAGUGGACGUAUACGGUGUGACGCCUGCCCGGUGCCGGAAGGUUAAUUGAUGGGGUCAGCGCAAGCGAAGCUCUUGAUCGAAGCCCCGGUAAACGGCGGCCGUAACUAUAACGGUCCUAAGGUAGCGAAAUUCCUUGUCGGGUAAGUUCCGACCUGCACGAAUGGCGUAAUGAUGGCCAGGCUGUCUCCACCCGAGACUCAGUGAAAUUGAACUCGCUGUGAAGAUGCAGUGUACCCGCGGCAAGACGGAAAGACCCCGUGAACCUUUACUAUAGCUUGACACUGAACAUUGAGCCUUGAUGUGUAGGAUAGGUGGGAGGCUUUGAAGUGUGGACGCCAGUCUGCAUGGAGCCGACCUUGAAAUACCACCCUUUAAUGUUUGAUGUUCUAACGUUGACCCGUGAUCCGGGUUGCGGACAGUGUCUGGUGGGUAGUUUGACUGGGGCGGUCUCCUCCUAAAGAGUAACGGAGGAGCACGAAGGUUGGCUAAUCCUGGUCGGACAUCAGGAGGUUAGUGCAAUGGCAUAAGCCAGCUUGACUGCGAGCGUGACGGCGCGAGCAGGUGCGAAAGCAGGUCAUAGUGAUCCGGUGGUUCUGAAUGGAAGGGCCAUCGCUCAACGGAUAAAAGGUACUCCGGGGAUAACAGGCUGAUACCGCCCAAGAGUUCAUAUCGACGGCGGUGUUUGGCACCUCGAUGUCGGCUCAUCACAUCCUGGGGCUGAAGUAGGUCCCAAGGGUAUGGCUGUUCGCCAUUUAAAGUGGUACGCGAGCUGGGUUUAGAACGUCGUGAGACAGUUCGGUCCCUAUCUGCCGUGGGCGCUGGAGAACUGAGGGGGGCUGCUCCUAGUACGAGAGGACCGGAGUGGACGCAUCACUGGUGUUCGGGUUGUCAUGCCAAUGGCACUGCCCGGUAGCUAAAUGCGGAAGAGAUAAGUGCUGAAAGCAUCUAAGCACGAAACUUGCCCCGAGAUGAGUUCUCCCUGACUCCUUGAGAGUCCUGAAGGAACGUUGAAGACGACGACGUUGAUAGGCCGGGUGUGUAAGCGCAGCGAUGCGUUGAGCUAACCGGUACUAAUGAACCGUGAGGCUUAACCUUACAACGCCGAAGGUGUUU